GGAGGUGAGGGCAAUCUGGCUGUGACAUCUGUCACCCCAUUGAUCUCAAGGGUUGACUGGGCUGAUCUGGCUGGCUAGGUGGGUAUCCCCUUCCUCCCUCACCAUUCCAUGUGCAUUCUUUCCAAAGCUGCGCUGUAGGUGGAAGAUGAUGACCAUCCCCAGCACAGGAGGACCAAUCUUUGAUCAAGAGUAUACCAGUAGUUGUGCUCCCAUGCUAGAACCUCCAAAUAAGCUCUCAAGUUCAUAUACUCUCUUAACAUACAUUCACCUCCUUCAAUUUUGCCUUUCAAAUAAGAAUUAGUA
RNAcentral lists this small RNA (303 nucleotides) under Castor canadensis (American beaver). Its description in RNAcentral is "7SK RNA (ENSCCNG00000024273.1)". It matches the Rfam family "7SK RNA", at positions 1 to 261 of the family's 331-position model. From Rfam's summary of the family: 7SK was discovered as an abundant small nuclear RNA in the mid-70s but a possible function has only recently been suggested. Two independent studies have found that 7SK RNA binds the CDK9/cyclin T complex (known as elongation factor P-TEFb). P-TEFb activates transcription by phosphorylating the C-terminal domain of RNA polymerase II. The record is from Rfam by way of RNAcentral. Lineage: Eukaryota; Metazoa; Chordata; Mammalia; Rodentia; Castoridae.